GACGUAGGGCGCGAGCGUUGUCCGGAUUUAUUGGGCGUAAAGAGCUCGUAGGCGGCUUGUCGCGUCGACUGUGAAAUCCCGCGGCUCAACUGCGGGUCUGCAGUCGAUACGGGCAGGCUAGAGUUCGGUAGGGGAGACUGGAAUUCCUGGUGUAGCGGUGAAAUGCGCAGAUAUCGAGAGGAACACCUGCGGCGAAGGCGGGUUGCUGGGCUGACACUGACGCUGAUGCGCGAAAGCUAGGGGAGCGAACGGG
RNAcentral lists this ribosomal RNA (253 nucleotides) under uncultured bacterium. Its description in RNAcentral is "partial 16S ribosomal RNA". It matches the Rfam family "Bacterial small subunit ribosomal RNA", at positions 524 to 776 of the family's 1533-position model. The record is from RNAcentral.